CGCGAACUUACAUUACUGUAUUCAUUCUAAAUUAAACAAGUAUAUAUAUAUAUAUAUAUAUGUUCUAUGGCAUAUGUAGUCCACAAAUAAAACAUAUAUAUGUACAUUACUCAAUUCUGACGUAUAUAUGUGUGUACACAUAUACUUCAUUCUUUUUUCUGCGAUUAUUGCGCCACUAGCGAUCAUAUUGUUGAAUAGUCACCUGUUGAAUCCAACUAAAUUCUAUUAAACAAUUAUACAAAUUUCUUUCAUUUAAUGUAUAAAAAUAUUUAAUCUUCAUAUAAUUUCACUUAUAAUUAUUUUAUAAUAUAUCUAUGCUUCAUUAACAUUUAUUACACUACAUAUAAAGGUGAUACAAAGAAGAAUAAAAACACUUGUUUUACUUGAACAAUUAGGAAAUGAUGAUUGCUUCAUCCCAAGGACCAUAGAUGUUAUUUUUAAAUUGUUUACAUCUAAUAUACCAAAGUGGACAGAUGAAAUGAAUGAAUACUAUAACUAUGAUAAAAACAUAGGAGCAUACAUUAGACAUAGGAAAUAGUACAAAAAAUUGUACCGAAACAGUUAAAA
Molecule: long non-coding RNA, 567 nt
Organism: Vespa crabro (European hornet)
Lineage: Eukaryota; Metazoa; Arthropoda; Insecta; Hymenoptera; Vespidae
Exons: 4
Source: RefSeq, a predicted model, not a curated record